This is an RNA transcript of Physeter macrocephalus (sperm whale), 1992 nucleotides long. It is a transcript of the gene named cysteine rich with EGF like domains 2, with no coding region annotated. The record is from RefSeq and is a predicted model, not a curated record. The transcript has 9 exons. Lineage: Eukaryota; Metazoa; Chordata; Mammalia; Artiodactyla; Physeteridae.
GCCGGCGCUUCGGAGCCGGUGGGCCGCUGGAGGCCACAGCGCUCGGCCGGUUCCCGCUGGACCUCGGCCGGUGCCCGUGCGGCCGCGUUCCGCAGCGCUGUCCACGUCGGCCCGCCAUGCGCCCGCCGGCCCCGGCCGUGCUGGGGCUGCUGCUUCUGAUGCUGCUGUCGCCCGGCGAGGCCACCAAGAAGCCGACGCCCUGCAAGCGAUGCCGGGAGCUGGUGGACAAGUUCAACCAGGGAAUGGUGGACACAGCAAAGAAGAACUUUGGUGGUGGAAACACGGCCUGGGAGGAAAAGACGCUGUCCAAGUAUGAAUUCAGUGAGGUCCGCCUGCUGGAGAUCAUGGAGGGCCUGUGUGGGACCAGCGACUUCGAGUGCAACCAUCUGGUGGAGGAGCACGAGGGGCUCCUGGAGACCUGGUGGCUGCGGCUGAAGAAGAAGUAUCCUGACUUAUUUGAAUGGUUUUGUGUGAAGACGCUGAAAGUUUGUUGUGCUCCAGGAACUUACGGGCCAGACUGCCUGGCGUGCCAGGGCGGGUCCGAGCGGCCCUGCAGCGGGAACGGCCACUGCAGCGGAGACGGCAGCAGGCAGGGCGACGGGUCCUGCCGGUGCCACCUGGGCUACCGGGGACCGCUGUGCGCCGACUGCACGGACGGCUACUUCAACUCGCUGAGGAACGAGACGCACAGCAUCUGCUCAGCCUGUGAUGAGUCCUGCAAGACGUGCACGGGCCCUACCAACAGAGACUGCGGCCAGUGCGAAGUGGGCUGGGCGCGGGAGGACGACGCCUGCGUAGCGGCCGGGCGCGGCUGCCGCCCACAGCUGUGCCGUCCUCUCCAGAUGUGGACGAAUGCGCGGCGGAGCCGCCCCCCUGCGAGGACCAGCAGUACUGCGAGAACCUCAACGGCUCCUUCGCGUGCCGGGGUGAGCGCGCCUCCCGGCCCGCCGGCCCGGCCCGCUGCUUCCCCCCAGAUGUUUGCGGUUUGUCAGCAUGACCCCUGUAUGCUCUGCCUGCUUAAAACAUUUAAGGUGGCAACACAAGUGACAGAUGUUUCCUGAAGAAGAAUCAGAGAAUUCAGAUGAGUUGAAAAAAGUAUCGUGACCGCCUUUGCACGUCACAUUUUUGUACACCGUGUUAUUUUGGAGCAUGCUGUUAUUUCACAGUUUUUUUCAACAAUCUGUAUCACUGAAUAUUUGUCAUACACAGUGUCCCACAGUUACAAACUUUGAAGACCCCUGUAGGUAAAGCUUUUUCCAUUCUUCAUUAUUUUCUUUGGAUGAGUUUCCGAGUUGCUCAGUUCAAGGGAAUGUGGAUUUUAGGGCCACCCACCCCCGCAAAAGGUUGAAAGGUGGUGCCGAUUCCUCGCCUUCCCCCCCCGCACCCCCUCACCGUGUCCGCGGCCAUGCCGUCCUGUCCCCAUGUUUGUGGACACACAGCUUCAAUGAGACGCCCCCAGAGCAUCACACGUUCUCUGCUGUCGUUGGCACCAAGCUCCUGGCUGGUGAGUCAGCAGUGUCACAGCUGGAGGCGGGUUUUGUUUGAGAAAAGAUGCUGCCCCCCCACCCUCCACGUGACAGAGGUCACGGAGGGGGCCCGUCGGUGCUGCUCCGGCAGCCUGGCCUGCACCGAGGUCCCUCCGCAGCACAGUGGUCAAUGGUCAGUCGCAGCAAGUCCGCACUUUGCCUCAAGCACACGCUGUCUGCUCCCCACCACCCCCAGGAUGGGGACACUGGGCUCUCCCGGCCGCAGGGCCUCCGCCAUCUUGUGUGUGGUUUCAGGUCGCGCUUUGCCCACAAGAUGGGGGUCUCGUGUCGUCAUCUCCCUCCCCUCUUGUUUCCAGAAUGUGAUUCUACCUGCGUGGGCUGCACGGGGGAGGGUCCUGGACAGUGUAAAGAGUGCCUCCCCGGCUUCUCGAAAGAGAGCGGCCAGUGCACAGACAUUGACGAGUGCUCGCUGGCGGAAAAGCCCUGUCUGAGGAGGAAUGAAAAC